UUGCUUCUUGGUAUCUCUAGCACAAGUUGUUGUGGCGCAUCCGCUUGUAUGUUGAACUCUUCUCUCCGGUUGUGACCGACGAUCCCUCCGGAAGCCUCGGGUGGCCUUUCUCCCCUGCAGGAUGUUGAUUGUUUCCUAUUGUCCCAGCCUCCAGUGGAUUUUCUUGGCUCUCUGGUGACUUUGGUUUUCUCUCCGGAUGGUUG
RNAcentral lists this long non-coding RNA (203 nucleotides) under Lathyrus oleraceus (garden pea). Its description in RNAcentral is "Pisum sativum (pea) long non-coding RNA (PSAT_LNC036973)". Lineage: Eukaryota; Viridiplantae; Streptophyta; Magnoliopsida; Fabales; Fabaceae. The record is from RNAcentral.